GUCACGCCCGAAGUCGUUACCCCAACCUCAAGGAGGGGGAUGCUUAAGGUAGGGCAAAUAGGUGGAGG
RNAcentral lists this ribosomal RNA (68 nucleotides) under uncultured cyanobacterium. RNAcentral's name for it is "partial 16S ribosomal RNA". Lineage: Bacteria; Bacillati; Cyanobacteriota. The record is from RNAcentral.